GACGAACGCUGGCGGCGUGCUUAACACAUGCAAGUCGAACGGAAAGGCCCUGCUUUUGUGGGGUGCUCGAGUGGCGAACGGGUGAGUAACACGUGAGUAACCUGCCCUUGACUUUGGGAUAACUUCAGGAAACUGGGGCUAAUACCGGAUAGGAGCUCCUGCUGCAUGGUGGGGGUUGGAAAGUUUCGGCGGUUGGGGAUGGACUCGCGGCUUAUCAGCUUGUUGGUGGGGUAGUGGCUUACCAAGGCUUUGACGGGUAGCCGGCCUGAGAGGGUGACCGGCCACAGUGGGACUGGGGUACGGGCCGAAGUCCUACGGGAGGCAGCGGUGGAGGAUAGUGCACAAUGGGCGGAAGCCUGAUGCAGCAACGCCGCGUGCGGGAUGACGGCCUUCGGGUUGUAACCCGCUUUCGCCUGUGACGAAGCGUGAGUGACGGUAAUGGGUAAAGAAGCACCGGCUAACUACGUG
RNAcentral lists this ribosomal RNA (468 nucleotides) under uncultured bacterium. RNAcentral's name for it is "partial 16S ribosomal RNA". It matches the Rfam family "Bacterial small subunit ribosomal RNA", at positions 28 to 507 of the family's 1533-position model. The record is from RNAcentral.